AAAAUCAGGAAGUAAUGGUGAGCUCAAUGCGGGGGACUUCUAAGCAGCACAGCACCUGGCACCGGCGUGAUGAGGAUGCAGGAACCAACAUGAACAGAACCAUUGGUACAGCAGAAGCAGAGGAAGUAAAGAGUGAGGACGAUGAUUAUGAAAAUCAGGAAGUAAUGGUGAGCUCAAAGCGGAGGACUUCUAAGCAGCA
Long non-coding RNA from Scomber scombrus (Atlantic mackerel), 199 nucleotides. RefSeq lists it as uncharacterized. NCBI's taxonomy places the organism in Eukaryota, Metazoa, Chordata, Actinopteri, Scombriformes, Scombridae. The transcript has 3 exons. The record is from RefSeq and is a predicted model, not a curated record.